RNAcentral lists this long non-coding RNA (6083 nucleotides) under Manihot esculenta (cassava). Its description in RNAcentral is "long non-coding RNA (MESC_LNC006373)". The record is from RNAcentral. Lineage: Eukaryota; Viridiplantae; Streptophyta; Magnoliopsida; Malpighiales; Euphorbiaceae.
UAAAAUUGCUCUAGCUAUUUCUGUUUUCCCUUUUAUUAUUGCCUAGUGCAGAGAUGUGUUAGAGGAAUCCGAUGAUCGUUGUUGAAGCACUCGUUUGUCUUCCUGAACUAAUAUUUCAAAGACAACUUUAUCAUUUUCCUGAAUGGCUUCUAAAAGCCUUGGAUCCAUUUCCUUUUUGUGCUAGGCUUAAGGCUGGAAAAGUAUGUUCAGGUUUCAGAAGUAUAUGUAGGCAACAAAGCAACAGACCUAGAUAUUCUGAGAAGGAAGAGAGCACUUUGUUAAUUUCUUUGUUAUCUUCAUGGAACCUUCAAGGCAUUCAGCUUCCGAGUUCCAGCCACCUUCAAGGAAAUUCAUUGAUGAUCAAUGGUUCUUUUGAAGUGAGACAAAGGCUUUUCCAAAGUCAAUUUUAGUACUCGUUCUCUUUCAGUUCACACUCAAAUAAUUAAUGCAUAAUACAUAAUUCGAUCUAUAAAUUUUUUAAAAAAAAUCAACAUUCUAUAAUUUUAACAUAUAAAUAUUCCGCUCGCGUGUCACAAUGUUUUUACCCAAUAACUUUCACUUUGAUUAAAGCUUCAUAAUGAGAAAAUGAAAACCAGCAGAAGGCUCGAAGCCAGUAAGACAAAGACAUUAAAGAAGGAAGCAGCUCGUAAAGGAGUAAAAAAUUUUUUAGGAUAAAUGUUAGAAAAAUUAAAAGGAGCUGUUGACCAUCACUGAAAUAAAAAUAAAAAGUUUUAGAAGUUUUGAUAACCAAGUUUGAUUUAGAAUAAAAAAUAGAUAUAUAAAAUUGAAACUAGAUAUUUAAAAAUAAAAAAUAAAUAUCUAAAAUCAGAUAUAAACGGCUCUUAGAAUAGAGUAUCACAAAUGUAAACCAGAAAUUAAGGUUAACAAAUAUAUUUCAGACUAUGAGAUUAUCUUGAUAAAAGAGAAAUAAGAUGGUGAGAAAAACAAAUAUCAAACUUCAUUAAAACAGAAAGAAAUAUAUAUAUAUAUUUUUUUAUUUCUAACAAUCAUUUACACGAAAUUCUCUCCAUUCUCUCUUUCUCUCUUUCUAACCGCAAUACACCCUUUUUACAGGUAAAUAUAAUCUUUACUCCGUCAACACAUGUCUAUAUAUGAGUACAUUACUUGUUUUACACACACAAAUUUUCUUUAAUUUCAUUCGAUAAAAGAUCUCAUAAGCGUAAAUUUGUUGCAGUAAAAUAUCUCUAUUCGCCAAUAAUUCUCAAGAAUUUUUCUUUCAAUUUUUGAUCCUUCUUAAUUGAAGCCAAAGAUUCGCCACUGUUAAAAAAAUAGUGAAGAGAGUAGAUAUGAUCUAAAUACUGAUUGCAGCGACGGAAUUCAGGAAAAACAUAACAAUCUCAACAGAUUUUCGCUACUUCUCCUCAAACAACAAAUUAUAAAAAGAAAUGACUAAAAGCCUUUAAUAAUAAAGUUGUAAAUUUCAGCCGUUUAUGGACGUGCAUAGGGUCCCUCCAACAAUUAUUUUUGCAAUUUAUGGAUAUGUAUCGAGUCCCUUCAAUAAAUUUUUUUCUGUAAUUCAUGGACAUGCAUUGAAUCCCUUCAACAAAGAUUUCUAUAGUUUAUAGAUAUGCUGGUCCCUUCAAGAAAUUUUUAGCCUUUUAUAGACAUAUUUAGGGGUGAGCAUUCGGUCGGUUCGGUUCAAAACCGAACCGAACCGAAUAAACCGAAAACCGAAAUUUUAGGUUUUAUGAAAACCGAACCGAACCGAUUUUGGUCAGAAACCGAAUCGAACCGAACCGGUCUGAUUCGGUUCGAUUCGGUUCGGUUUGAUCGGUUUCGAUUUUUAAUAUUUUUUUAAUUUUUUACACUUUAUUUUUAGUAUUUUAAAAUUUAAUUAAAAUAUUUUAAUUUUAAUAUAAUUUAAUUUCUCUAUAUUAUUGAAAAAACAUAUUAUUAUUCCUAAUCGGUUCGGUUCGGUUUUUUCGGUUUUUUUCUGAUCAAAACCGAACCGAACCGAAAUAACCGAAAUUUCUGAAAUUUAAAACCGAACCGAACCGAACCGAAAUUUAUAAAAAACCGAACCAAAUUUUCAAAUCGGUUCGGUUCGGUCGGUUUUUUCGAUUUGAACUGGAUUCUGCUCAGCCCUAGACAUAUUGAUCCCUUUAAUAAACUUUCGGUCUUUUAUGGACUUAUUGGUUCCUUCAAAAAAAUUUUAGCUUUUUUAUGGACAUGGUGGUUCUUUCAAAUAACUUUCAGUCUUUUAUAAACUUGUUAGUCUCUUCAAAAAAUUUUCAGCCUUCUAUAGACAUGUCAAUCCUUUGAAACAAGAUUUUUUUUUUUCAAAUAGUUUAGAAAUAUGUUAGUCUAAAACAUCAGUUUAAAGACAUGAUAGUCUAAAAUAUAAAUUUAAAAAUAUAAAGUCGCAGGUCUUAUAAAUUUUAAAUCUUUAUAGACUUGCAAGUCUUCUCAUAAAUUUUGGAUACUUCCAAACAAAAAGAUAAAGAAACCAAUCUUUUAAAUUUCUUAAAAUUUUAAAAGUAGAUAAAUAUAAAAUCUUUCAAAAGGUCUUGAAUUUUGAAAAUAUAUAAAAAAAUCCAACCUAGAAUAAAUCUUUCAAAGUGUUAGAAUAUUUACAAGUAUUUGAAUAUUUACAAGUAGAUGAAAAAACUAACUUUUUCUAACUUUUCAAAUUAGAAAGUAGAUGAAAAUAAAAGAAAUAAAAAACUUAAAAAAGGUCACAAAAGCAUUGAAACAAGCUCUCAAAAAUUAUUUGGCCUAUGAUAGCCCGUUGAAAAAUCAAAAGAAUCUCUAAUACAAUCACUAAAAUAAAAAUAGAAAGUUUAGAAAUUCGGAUAACAAGUUCGAUUAAGAAUAAAAAAUAAAUGUUUAAAACUAAAAUUAAAUUUGUAAAAACAGAAAAUAAAUAUAUAAAAACAGAUAAAAGUAGCUCACAAACCAAAGCAUCACGAAUACAAAUAAAAAAUUAAGAUUUUUGUAGAAUAUGCAACAUCAAAAUAAAGAUGAGAAUAAUUGAUUUAAACUUAGCAAAUAUAUGUUAGAAUAUAACAAAAGAAAAAAAAGAUAACAGAAGAAUAAAUAUCAAACUUCAUUGAAUUUUUGAGAAAUACUAAUUUUUUUCCUUUUUCAUUUCUAACAAUCAUUUACAAUAAAUUCUCUUUUUCUCUCUUAAUUUCCACAUGCAAUAACCCUUUUUACAGGCAAAGAAAAGUCUCACAGAGUCGACACAUGCCUAUCCCUAGAGAUAGGUCAAUAAAUAUUAAUUCUUAAUAAGGGCAACUUAACACCUUAUUACUACAGAUUCUAUGGAGGAGGCAAGAAAAAGGUGAACCGGAGGAAAUUUUCGAUCACUGGAGAUUCCUGGAAAUAGUCAUUGGGGGUCCAGGAAAAAGGGUCCCAUUUGCAAAUUGCAAAUGGCGACUUGCAGGAGAUUGCAUAUGAGGCCAACCAGUGGACUUUUAGGCUAUGUUUGGUUCAGUUCCAAUUUCUAAAAUUUUGUUGAAUUCAAUUGAAUUUCAUAUUUUGUGUGUUUAGUUUGAAUAAAGAUUAAAAUUCAAUUCUAAAAAUUCAAUUCCAUGAAAUUAGUUAUAACUAAAACCAAUUUCUAGUGGUUCAGGAGCAGUAGUGUCCGAUAGACUUGUUUCACUCCUAGUGGUUCUGCUUGCCACGUUAGUUGCUUUACUGUUGUCAUCUUAAACAAUUCUUUGUUGAUCAGUGUCAGGUUCCAGCUAGCUGUUGGAAUCCUUUGUCUAAACAAUGUCUUUUGAGUAAUUGUUUAGCUGUUGAACAAUACUGCUUUUGAUAUUCUCGGAUGAGUUUCUCUGUUUUGAAUGUUUUCGUAGCAUUUAAUUGCAGUUAUUAAUAUUGGUUUCUUGCUACUAAUAACUUCUAUUUUUCCGAAAUUUGUCUAAUUCUUUUGUUUCCAGCCUGUUUAUAGUACAGCAGUAAUUCCAUGUAUAUACAUGGCGUACAAGUUUUUCAUCGGAACUAUCAGUAUGUGUGAUAUCCUAAACCGUAAUUGGGUGCAAUGUCUGAACUUGCGCUUCCAAGGAUCUUUAUCUCUAAUUCCUCUACUGCAAAUUGCUCAACUGGUUGCUCUUCUACCUUUCCUUCUGUCCUUUUCUUCCUCCACAUCCUUUUCCGCUGCCAAUGAAUAGUAAAAAUCACAGCUAUAACAAUAAAGGUCGCUCCCAGCGCGCUGCCACCCGCAGCCGUUGCCAACACAGGCAUCCAUUCGGUGCCUCCACUAUGUGGUGUGAUCACCCAAGUUGCUGCUACAAAACUGAUUCCCAUGCACAAAACUGCCACCCACAUGACUCUGUCAGCAAUCUUUAGCACUCUCACCAGCGGUUUUCUUCGAAAAGGGAUGAUCCUGAUGAGAGUAAUGACAACUGAAAGGGAGGUGAACAAUGCAAUAGUGUUGCUUAUUUCAAACACCUUGAAAGCUGUUGUUCUGGCUAGUAUUGAUUUCCCUUUCAUUGGUCCAUCCUGGAAGACACCACCAGGAGGACUUAUCCCAGCAGCAAAACUUACUGUUGCAAUUAAAACAGCAACUACUAUAAUGGUGUUCCUGGAAUUUUGUAGUGCCUCUAUCUGCAUCUUUCUCAGGUGAUCACUAAUGUCUCUAGCUAGUUCCUUUUCCGCUGGUUUUUGCUUCGUUUCAGAUCUUGUCGUAUUAUAAUUUGUUUGAGCAGCAGCUCCACUUGGUUGUGAAUUGUGAGUCGUUGUGGCGCUUGUAGAAGAAGUAGGCGAUUUAAUAUCUUUGUGCUCUAUGUCAACGUCACUUGUUUCUCUAACUAGUGACGUCGAAGAGAUCAGAAUGCUACGUUUACCGCCGGCUUUAACUAACAAGUCCUUAAGACUCCAUUUUUUUUCAUGAGGGAAAGCUACCUCUUCGAGUAUGUCCAGUGCUGUGAGACCUGAGUAAUUCUGGUCAUUGAGAUCCAAUAGUUUAACCUUUAUCAAGUACUCUGCAAUCUGAACAUAACACAUCUUUGUCGAUAAGAGAAAAAAAAAGACCCGAGAUAAGCAUACAAGGAGAGAAUAAGAGAUUCUUACUUUAUAGCAGCCUGUGGAUACAGCAAGAUGUAAGACUGUAUUACCGUGUUGGUCUCGGAAGCGGAGGAAGUGAGGUAUGGUUGUAAAAACAUCCCUCAUGACGAUGAAGGCAUCGUAGCUGCCGGAUUUAACAGCAAGGUGAAGUAGAGAAUCCCCCUGUUUUGUGAAUAAAAUGACAUAUUGGGAACCUCUCGACAGAAAUUCAAGAAUGAUGGGAGCACAACCAUUCAUUGCAGCCAAAUGCAGCGGCGCAUACCCUUUGUUAUUAAGUACCAUACUACUUUGGGGGGCAUACUCUAAAAGGAUUUUUGUCAUCUCCAAGCUACUCUUUUCACAAGCGCAGUGCAGUGGUAAACACCCAUCCUGGUCACUUUUCGAAGCAAAACUUGGCCUCGCUUCCAAUAUUGCCCUCACAACUCCUGCAUGGCCAGCUCCAUUAAUUUGGCUGAGAAAAACACAUACGGACUUGAACAUUUUCAAACCCGAAAAGGGAAAAGAAGAAAAUAAAAGAAGUUUCAGAACGUACUUGUGUUAUCUCUUGACACUGAUUGGUGCAAAGCAUUUGAAGGGUAUCUAGCUUCUUCGAUAUCCAUUAACCAACUUAGGUUGAGCAGGAGCUUAACCACAUCAAGAUGCUCUCGGCUACAAGCUAUGGAAAAUGCACUCUCGUUGUUAUAGUUAAGUAGAGUGGCUACCGCUUGUUUGGUCUCUAACAGCAACAUCACCAUAUCAGCAUUUCCUACCCGACAGGCUUCAUGGAGAGGAGUAUCCCCUCGAAUAUUCUGAGCUGAAACCAAGUCAGGACACAGCUCUAAAAUUGCUCUAGCUAUUUCUGUUUUCCCUUUCAUUAUUGCCCAGUGUAGAGAUGUGUUAGAGGAAUCCGAUGAUCGUUGUUGAAGCACUCGUUUGUCUUCCUGAACUAAUUUUUCAAAGACAACUUUAUCAUUUUCCUGAAUGGCUUCUAAAAGCCUUGGAUCCAUGUCCUUUGUGUGCUAGGCUUAAGGCUGGAAAAGUAUGUUCAGGUUUCUGAAGUAUAUGUGGGCAAC